This 429-nucleotide ribosomal RNA is filed under the name Bacillota bacterium. RNAcentral describes it as "Firmicutes bacterium partial 16S ribosomal RNA". It matches the Rfam family "Bacterial small subunit ribosomal RNA", at positions 355 to 776 of the family's 1533-position model. Lineage: Bacteria; Bacillati; Bacillota. The record is from RNAcentral.
UAGGGAAUCUUCGGCAAUGGACGGAAGUCUGACCGAGCAACGCCGCGUGAGUGAAGAAGGUUUUCGGAUCGUAAAGCUCUGUUGUUAGAGAAGAACGUUGGUAGGAGUGGAAAAUCUACCAAGUGACGGUAACUAACCAGAAAGGGACGGCUAACUACGUGCCAGCAGCCGCGGUAAUACGUAGGUCCCGAGUGUUGUCCGGAUUUAUUGGGCGUAAAGCGAGCGCAGGCGGUUCUUUAAGUCUGAAGUUAAAGGCAGUGGCUUAACCAUUGUACGCAUUGGAAACUGGAGGACUUGAGUGCAGAAGGGGAGGGUGGAAUUCCAUGUGUAGCGGUUAAAUGCGUAGAUAUAUGGAGGAACACCGGUGGCGAAAGCGGCUCUCUGGUCUGUAACUGACGAUGAGGCUCGAAAGCGUGGGGAGCAAACAGG